AUGUCCCCGUUGUUGGAUUUCUCGCAGCGAAGUUGAUCGAGCUUUUGGUUGGAGCCCAAACACGUUACACAUACAUGUCUGGUUCUUGAGACAUAUACGAAACAAAGUGGUAUGUUAUGUGCUCCAAACUAGAAGUAUUAUAAAUAGUUUGAUAUGUAUGUUUAAGCGGCAUUCAUAUUCAAGUUCUUUUUUCAUAACAUUUUCUCAUGGAAUUAUGAAUAUGAUUUUAUGGCAUAAUGAUGUUUCAUUAACUUUUUCGACGCGAUCCAUUAAUAUCUUGUAGAGAUCUACAUGGAACACCGUCACAUAGAUAAACCAUUAACGUUAGGUGUUACAUCAUCAUAAAUGACUAGUUGAGACCCGCUGAGUCAUACAUGUGAGUCUAGGCACGAGUUAGCAAAGUUCAGCGAGUAUCAUUACAACUUCACUACCCAACCUUGUCAUCUACAAUCGACAUGUCUAAACCAUCUUUACUUUCCUGCCUGCAUGUACACAUCGAGUUUUCGAAAACACGCGUUGGCUACAAAGCUGAGUAGUAUAAGGGGUGACAAACAAGUUGCGACUCGGAUUGUGUCUUUAUUUAUGGUUGUCAAAUACAAGCUCUUGAUUUGUGCAUAUAAGCUUGCAAAGUGAUACAUUUAUGUCACUCUAUACCACAUCUAUAUUCACCUUCCCUUGUUCAUAUUUUCUCUAUGUUUAUCUUUCUUUCUUUAUUUUCAUUACCUUUAUUUGGAGUUUUUAGAAAAAAAAAAUCUAUUAAUAUAAGAAAAUUACUCUAGUAAUCAUAACCAAAACAAAAUUUAUAAUGUGGUCAAAAGAAAAUUUUGUUGCAUCAUAACCUCUUAGAAAAUUCCUUGAAAACGAUCUUUCAAGUUUCAAGUGUAAGAUAGAUAACCAGAUACCAAUUGUUAGGUAACUAGUACUGAGCCCCCUGCGUUGUGUGUGUGUGUGGUUGGGGGGGGGGGGGUAACAUCAUGCUAUGCAAGUCAAAGACGACAAACUGGGAAAAACAUAAAACAAAAACACGAAUUUAUAUCAUCAAGUGACUCACAUAACGUAAAAUGUAUACGGACACCUAUUAGAAAGUUGAGGUGGUCAAAAUAAUGCUAUAUAAUGUUUUUAGAAACCGAGAGCAAAAGUGACAACUUUGAAAUUUAAGGGUAUGGAAAAAAUUACACUAAAAAGAAAAAUAAUUGAGGGAGACUUUUGACCACCAAAGAAACUUAGGUGGCCAAAAACAAACUCAUGAAAUACGUAAGUUUGUUUAUAGUUUUGGAGGAAACAAAAACUAGAGAUUUUUCAAAGUCAAAAUCUUGCUAUUUUCUUUGGAGUUUGACCCACUCAACGGGUUAUUUAUCACACAUCCAAUUAGUACAUAUCAGAACACUUUCGAGUGUUUCUAA
Molecule: long non-coding RNA, 1403 nt
Filed under: Helianthus annuus (common sunflower)
Lineage: Eukaryota; Viridiplantae; Streptophyta; Magnoliopsida; Asterales; Asteraceae
Description: hypothetical non coding rna
Source: RNAcentral